AGUGAACGCUGGCGGCAGGCCUAAUACAUGCAAGUCGAACGGCAGCACAGCAGAGCUUGCUCUGUGGGUGGCGAGUGGCGGACGGGUGAGGAAUACGUGGGAAUCUGCCCAGUCGUGGGGAUAACGUAGGGAAACUUACGCUAAUACCGCAUGCGCCCUUCGGGGGAAAGCCGGGGACCUUCGGGCCUGGCGCGAUUGGAUGAGCCCAGUCGGAUUAGCUAGUUGGCGGGGUAAAGGCCCACCAAGGCGACGAUCCGUAGCUGGUCUGAGAGGAUGAUCAGCCACACUGGAACUGAGACACGGUCCAGACUCCUACGGGAGGCAGCAGUAGGGAAUAUUGGACAAUGGGCGCAAGCCUGAUCCAGCCAUGCCGCGUGAGUGAAGAAGGCCCUCGGGUGUAAAGCUCUUUUGUCCGGAAAGAAAAGCGCCGGGUUAAUACCCUGGUGUCCUGACGGUACCGAGAAUAAGCACCGGCUAACUUCGUGCCAGCAGCCGC
RNAcentral lists this ribosomal RNA (496 nucleotides) under uncultured bacterium. RNAcentral's name for it is "bacterial SSU rRNA". It matches the Rfam family "Bacterial small subunit ribosomal RNA", at positions 29 to 518 of the family's 1533-position model. The record is from RNAcentral.